AAUGAUGAAAACAAUAUUAUUCACACAGACCUGUUCUGAAUAUAUGCAUGUGGAUGUUGUUUAUUGCCAACUGCUGUCUGA
RNAcentral lists this small nucleolar RNA (81 nucleotides) under Tuber melanosporum Mel28. RNAcentral describes it as "small nucleolar RNA snR56". Lineage: Eukaryota; Fungi; Ascomycota; Pezizomycetes; Pezizales; Tuberaceae. The record is from RNAcentral.